AUGAGAAAAGGAUUGGGUUUUAAUAAGAAAGUUUCUUGUUAUAUGGAGAUACAGAGCAGAAAUUGUUUUUCACUGUUUCAGCAAUGUGAUGUCGUAGCUUGUGCCAAUUAUGCAGCUAAUUAAAAUUAUGAAAUUCAAAAACAGAUAUGUCCCUCCAGAAAAGCCUUUCACAAUAUAGAAAUGCCAUUGAAAUCGUGCCUGAAAAGAUUAGUCGAACAGAAUGAAUACCAAUUUCAGCUGGUACAUAUUCCUCAUUCAUGGAAAUGUGCCUAAAUAUAGAUUCAAACUGAGUGGACAUGUUUUUUUUUUUUUAGUGGACAUUAUUAUUUUAAAACUGUAAACAAAACUGUAAACAGAGGCCCCACAUUUAAAUUUUUUGGUAAAUGCUUGUCAAGCUGUCAUUACAUUGUUACUGGUCAAAGAGAGUCUACUUACGCCUGGCCAACAGAGGGCGCAAUGAGCCUAGUAUUUCAGAUGCAUCGCAUUGGUAGCUUUGUGAUUCUAGAAACUUCGUCAGAAUGCGAGCGGGCAGGUCACAGAUUUGAGGUGACAGACGUGGCUCUGGCAGGUCGUAUUCCUGGUAGGAGACUCUUAUGUUGCGUAACUGGCCCCCCUGUGACUCCGUACCGAGCCAGAUCCCUGCAGCCUCUCUUUCCUUUUCAGGAAAAAGGGGGGGAGAGAGGGGCUAAGCGUUGUGGAUUCCUCUGUUUAAUCCUCACUUAAAUCCAUUGACACCCCCGCUUGGGAAAAACGGUCUCCGGCCCUAUCGCGGAUCAGCCCCGGGCCGGAUGGCGGUAAUUAGUCUUGCCCCCCAUCAAAGGGGUGGAAGCACGGAGACCUGGGCAGAGUGGCUGUGCCUGACAGGACUCCCACGCUACAGAAUGCACCCCCUAUUACCGCCACUCGGGAGGAACAAGCCCUCUCUUUCAGGGUUGCCGGGGGCCAAAAGACUGCUGAACCCCAGGGGGUCUAACGUGAUUACCCCCCCCUUCCCUUCACCCACCCCCACCCUUUAUACCCAAGCUCACAAGAAAAGAGAUGGCUGAAAACAUUUGGUAUUCUGGAUUAAACCAAAUUACUGGCUACGUCCAACAUUAAUUGAGCUGCUCCCCACCACCCCCAACCUUAAAAGUGUUCUCUGUUGAUAUACAGGGGCUUAUCUGAAAUGUAAAACAUUUGGGACGAAAAUGGAUGAGUAUGAACCCCUAUACAACAAUGCAAAUGCUGUCAUUACAGAUGGAAAGCUUGGCAUGGUUACUUUAAAGGCUGUAAUACUCAAUAACCUGCCCAGUGGUCACUUACAAUUGUGUGUGUACCUGACAUGGAUUCCAACCUGUUUUUAAUGUCAUGCUUCCCAGAUCGGGAGAAUGAAAAUUCCACAAUGACAAGGGGCUCUGUUUUGACAGUCCAACGGUUUGUAGCGCAGUGGUUGAAAUGGAGCAUAUUAUCUUGAAUAA
Molecule: long non-coding RNA, 1457 nt
Organism: Anguilla rostrata (American eel)
Lineage: Eukaryota; Metazoa; Chordata; Actinopteri; Anguilliformes; Anguillidae
Exons: 2
Source: RefSeq, a predicted model, not a curated record